UACGGAGGGUGCAAGCGUUGUUCGGAAUCACUGGGCGUAAAGCGCGUGUAGGCGGCCUCCUCAGUCUGGUGUGAAAGCCCGGGGCUCACCCCCGGAAGUGCAUUGGAUACUGGGAGGCUGGAGUACCGGAGAGGAGGGUGGAAUUCCUGGUGUAGCGGUGAAAUGCGUAGAUAUCAGGAGGAACACCGGUGGCGAAGGCGGCAUCUGGACGGAUACUGACGCUGAGACGCGAAAGCGUGGGGAGCAAACAGG
This 252-nucleotide ribosomal RNA is filed under the name uncultured bacterium. RNAcentral describes it as "partial 16S ribosomal RNA". It matches the Rfam family "Bacterial small subunit ribosomal RNA", at positions 524 to 776 of the family's 1533-position model. The record is from RNAcentral.